AUACGGAGGGUGCAAGCGUUAAUCGGAAUUACUGGGCGUAAAGCGCGCGUAGGCGGCUGAUUAAGUCGGAUGUGAAAUCCCUGGGCUCAACCUAGGAACUGCAUCCGAUACUGGUCAGCUAGAGUUUUGGAGAGGUAAGUGGAAUUUCCGGUGUAGCGGUGAAAUGCAUAGAGAUCGGAAGGAACACCAGUGGCGAAGGCGACUUACUGGCCAAAAACUGACGCUGAGGUGCGAAAGCGUGGGUAGCGAACAGAAUUAGAAACCCCAGUAGUCC
This 274-nucleotide ribosomal RNA is filed under the name uncultured bacterium. RNAcentral's name for it is "partial 16S ribosomal RNA". It matches the Rfam family "Bacterial small subunit ribosomal RNA", at positions 523 to 796 of the family's 1533-position model. The record is from RNAcentral.